Molecule: transfer RNA, 73 nt
Filed under: Sus scrofa (pig)
Lineage: Eukaryota; Metazoa; Chordata; Mammalia; Artiodactyla; Suidae
Rfam family: tRNA
About the family: Transfer RNA (tRNA) molecules are approximately 80 nucleotides in length. Their secondary structure includes four short double-helical elements and three loops (D, anti-codon, and T loops).
Source: Rfam by way of RNAcentral
UCCCUGGUGGUCUAGUGGUUAGGAUUUCAGCUCUUGCAUUGCUGUGGCCGGGGUUCGAUCCCCCGUUUGAGAA